AACGAACGCUGGCGGCAUGCCUAACACAUGCAAGUCGAACGAGACCUUCGGGUCUAGUGGCGCACGGGUGCGUAACGCGUGGGAACCUGCCCUUAGGUUCGGAAUAACUCCCCGAAAGGGGUGCUAAUACCGGAUAAUGUCUUCGGACCAAAGAUUUAUCGCCUUUGGAUGGGCCCGCGUUGGUUUAGCUAGUUGGUAGGGUAAAAGCCUACCAAGGCGACGAUCCAUAGCUGGUCUGAGAGGAUGACCAGCCACACUGGGACUGAGACACGGCCCAGACUCCUACGGGAGGCAGCAGUAGGGAAUAUUGGACAAUGGGCGAAAGCCUGAUACAGCAAUGCCGCGUGAGUGAUGAAGGCCUUAGGGUUGUAAAGCUCUUUUACACGGGAUGAGAAUGACAGUACCGGGAGAAUAAGCUCCGGCUAACUCCGUG
RNAcentral lists this ribosomal RNA (433 nucleotides) under uncultured bacterium. RNAcentral describes it as "partial 16S ribosomal RNA". It matches the Rfam family "Bacterial small subunit ribosomal RNA", at positions 29 to 507 of the family's 1533-position model. The record is from RNAcentral.